AAAAAAGGACAAUCAGCCAUUUUCCAUCCAGGAUUGAGAACCAAAAACCUAGAGGACCCUUCUCCUUCAUCUUCCAUAUACCAAAACCCCUAGAGACAAAAACCCUUACCCCCUGCACAAAACAAUCUCACCACUCCAUCUUCAUCUUCUUGACGCCAUCGCCGACCAGACCUCACCACCCAACGACCACUCCCUGAACUAGUAGCCAUGGCUCCUCUUACCCAGACAUGAAGCCCAGCCGUUACCCCCACCAAAACCAGCGACUCCUCAUUCCUUCACCAAGCAAACAACUACCAAACCCGCCGGAAAAUGACCCCCUAACACCAUAGAACGUCGCUCCCUCACCCAUCUUCCUCUCUGCCAUAGACGAGAAACACACACACACACACACACACACACAUACAACGAUAACACAACAUCUCUCGGCAAAGCUCCAAAAUCAGUUGCUCCUUUCUCCAUAGAUUUGGACCUUAGAACUAUUGCAUUACAAUUCAUUCUUCAAGGAAUAACGCAACAACAAAGCUAGUAAAUUCAGUAGCUAUAGCUUCCCCAUUUCACUCCCAAUACAGUUCCAAACAGUCACUAAUUUCACAUCCAAAAAAUACGUCGGAGUCGAUCCAAGGAAUGCGCGGAGUUACGAGAUUUUCCGGUGAGUUUUCCAUGUUCUAGUCGCGGUUUUGCUCAUUGUUGAGUUUCACAAUAAUAAAAGUCAGGUCCUUCAUUUGAGUUCUACCCUUCAUCUUUGUUUCUUUUAUACGACUUGGCAUUUCUUUUAACUGAUUAUCUUAGCGCAGUUUUCUAUACUUUUGUGAACGAUGAUUCUAUGUUAGAUUUAAGUUGCUCUUAAUGCUUGAACAUGUUUUUCAUGCCUGAAGGGCUAUCUUAUCUUCUUGUACUCGUUGAUUUGAAAAUUUUGAGCAUGCUAAAUGGUUUAAGUUAAUACAGUAGAAUUUUCAUUGAUUUUAAGUGGAUACAUAAGAUAUGAAUGAGUUAUUUAGUAGUGGCGUGAGUUUUUGAACUAAAAUAUAAGUUUGAGUCCUUGGAAUUUUGGGUGGGAUUGGGAAUUAAAAAAAGGUAUAAAAUAAAUAAGUUUUCAUGUCAGCUGGAGGAUAAUUUCAAUAAUACUUCAAUUUGGAACAUAAUUCUUUGAGUUAUUGAUUCAUGCCUACGAAGUGCUUAGAUCGUUAGGAAGAGCAAAUUCUUUAAAUAAGUUGAGGUGUGCCAUCCAAUCACAUAGUCUAUGGCCCUCACUUUAAUAUUAUAACUUAGAUACUAAACAAUCUUGACCGUUCGUAGUUUGCUUUAGGCGCGAUUUAAUAUACUAUCGUGGUGGUGUACACGUUCGCGUGACAUAAUUACGAUUUUAAAAAAAAACGUAAUCAGAGUAUGCGUUCGCGCAACUUCGACUAAACUUUCUUAAUAAUAAUAAAGUGUUACUAAUUGUGGACACGUUCGUGUGACAUGAUUUUUGACGCGCCAAACAAAUGGGUACACGUGCGCGUGACCUGUUUCAAGAUAAUUUCUAAAUUAAAAAGGUAAAUGCACAUAGGUUCUAAAAUAAGUAAUUAGACAAUUUUAAUAAGCCAAGUAUGAUCAAAGCGACCGUGCUAGAACCACGAAACUCGGGAAUGCCUAACACCUUCUUCCGGGUUAAUAGAAUUCCUUAUCCAGAUUUCUAUAUUUGCAGACCACAAAUAGAGUCAAACUUCCUCGAUUCAGGAUUUUAAACCGGUGACUUGGGACACCAUAAAUUAUCCCAAGUUGUGACUCUGAAUUUUAAAUAAAAUAAUUGUCGUGCCCCCUUUAUCUCGCGAAAUCGGGUUUAUGACAUUUGGAGGGGCAACUCGUUCCUUUUGGGAACUGGGUUUUGCAUUUGAAGAGUCACCACCUAAUGAUUAAGGUGCAUUAGGACACCAAUAGAAAUUUAAUUCUAAAUCAUUUGAAUAACCAGAGAUUGGGUAAGGGCUUGAAAUUAUCCCAAGGGGAAGGUGUUAGGCACACUCAGGAUCCACUAGUGUGGUUCCCGGCCAAACAGUUAUUGUGAAUUUAGCAAAUAAGCAAGUAUGGGCUCAAAUAUUAGGGGAUUUAAACACAUAAAGAAAGAACAUUUGAAAGAAGUGUUUGUUUAAAAAAAAGAGUUUGCAAAUAAAGGAAAUGGGCCCUAAGUUUAUAUUUAUGGAUCACCCCACAUAAUGUCCGGUAAUCACUCCUCAAUGAGGGGCUAUACGUGACAUUAUCGCGUGGUCAUCAUAUCCAUAUCUACACUUCCCACCCCGUUAAGGUAUAAAAGCGGGGAUUGGUUUCAAUUACUUAUUGCAUGCUAUUACCUGUCCCAUUCCUAUCAGUCCUGGAGGUACUUAGGACUAUUAAUCCUAAAAGGGAGGGGUAUUAGGGUGAUUUGAAGUUCCAAAGGUAAAAAUCUAGGGCGACAUAUAAAAACAGAUAAUAUGGCAUAUAAAGGGAAGCAUGUAAACAGACAAAGGCUCAAAUACACCUCUUUGAACAGAAGCACAUAACUAGCAUGACUUGCACAUACAUUUUAGGUCUAAUUAAAUACUAAAGCCGAGGGGAGCCCGAUUAUUGAAGCAGUUUAGUUUAUUACAUAACUCAGGUAAGAAGUUCGAAUCAGGCUUGCCUGCUGGUUGUAGCGAUUAGCAAAAGCGGAUCCAGUUUACAGUUAUUAUACUAAGGCUUGCCUAAGUGUAUAUUGAUGAUACCCAAUAAGCAUGAUAUCCACUGAUUUCAGAAGGUGAUGAGACAGUAAAAACUCGAAACGAAUUAUUUGAAAUCCUAUAGGCAUGCUUGCUAAACCUUGUUAAGUGAGGGAAUUAGACUAUUAUAAGGAGAUUUAGAAUGGACAAAAUUAAACAGACUGGUUAUAGAUUCUGCAGGUAAUAAUAUCUACUAUUAGUGAUUUUAAUCCCUAGGAGCAUGAUAUAUAACAUUGACUAUGAAUGAAGCGAAUCCGAAUUUCACUUAUGAACCCCUAUAGGCAUGAUUUCUAGAUGUUACUAAUUUUAACACAUUACUGGAUUAUAACCACUUGGCCCCUAACACAUGAUAUCUAAACGGUGACAAACAUGCAGAACUUUAGAAUGAAAUCCUAUAGGCAGGUUAUCUAGAUGUGAAGUUGAACAAGAAGUCCUAUAGACAUGGUUUCUAAAUGCAGUUUGCUGAAUUAAUAUACCCUAUAGGCAUGAUUUCUAAAUGCAUUUUGCAUAAUUAAAAUACCCUAUAGGCAUGAUUUCUAAAUGCAGUUUAUAGAAUUAAAAUACCCUAUAUGCAUGAUUUCUAAAUGCAGUUUGCAGAAUUAAAAGACCCUAUAGGCAUGAUUUCAAAAUGUAGUUUGAAUAUGCAGAAUUUAAAGUAGUCCUAUAAGCAUAUUUUCUACCCUUGCAUCAUUUUUACUAGCCAUCCCCAAAUGUUUAUUACAAAUUAUUACAAACCAGGAAUACUAAAUACAUCAGAAAAAUACAACAAAAUAACAGCCAGAGGAAGUCUGAUUCUUGACUUCCUCACUGAGUUAUGAGAUGAACCAACUCAAAAUACCAUUGAUCCAAAGCCUUUCUCAGCCUUGAGUGUGUCAGAGUUCCCUAAGGGCUUCAAUAGGACCCCGAGCAGUGCUCACACCCAAGUUUCAUAACCAAAAUAGGGAAAAGUGCAGUGUGGAAAUGUCAGCCCUCAUGUAUCCAAGUUCAGAGUGAUGUCACGGGUCCCAAGGCAAGGCUCACAUGAGGGGGGCAGAACUUAAGUCUAAGAGGAGAGUGCAAGUGCAGAAAUAGAGCUUUAAGAACUAAGGAAGUAAACAAGGGGGAAAGAGGUGCUGGGAAACAGCCAUUAACACUUCAAACAAGUUGAUAAUUUCAUACCAUGGGGUUUGGGAAUCCAUUGCAAAGAGCCUAUAUACUUAGGCAUGAGUCAAUUCUAGGCAUGGACAACAAUAGGGAGUGUUGUCAUUCUUGCAAAAUCAACUAGAACAUACAACAUAUAAGGGAAACAUAGAGGUUAUGAUCCUAGGAGGAUCAAGUUUGGGUCAUGCUCAGCAAUGUUCAAUGCUAUCAUGCCCCAAACAAACCAUAGGUAUUAAACAUACUGGGGUAGGGAUUUAGGAUUCAUAAUCCAUUAAUUCAGAACAGGAGAAAAAAUAAGGGUACUGAAUUAAAUAUAAGCAGUAGGCAGACAAGAAUGCAAGAAUCAUUAAGUAACCAUGUUGUGGUUGAUGCUGAAAACUUAAUUAGAACAUACCUGUCAAAGAAGCAAAGUGAAGUAAGGAAAAGUAGCAGGACUUCAAAAUAUAGCUUUGGCUUUCAGCCAGCUAAACAGGACACAGUACCAAUAACAAAGCAAGAGAGAGUGUUUUGAGUGUAAGUGUGAGUUCAAAACUAAAAGUGUUCGUGUGUUUGUGCUAAUGAGGGAGUAUGUAUAGAUAGUAGUUCGAAACCAUGUAAAAUAAGGCAAGAAUUAUAAUUGUAUAGUAAUUAUGGAACCAAGUACUAAUCAGAAUCAAAUCAAUGUAGGUACUCCUUUAAUUAAGGGGCAAUCAACCAACGGUAAUAGACAAAAAAUGUUUAAGGAAAGAAAUCAAGUAGAGCAUCAUUUACAGAGUAGAAAAUAAGGGGUAAGUACAUAGGGGUUCAAUUAAGGAAACAACCAAUGAAGAAUCAGUAAAAUACUCGGUUAACCAAAUAAGGUAAGAAAACAAAAUAAAGUUGCAGAAUAUGGAGAUAAUCGAAAAUCGGCACAUAAUAAAUCAGGGAAUCAAGGAUUCGAAAUUACUGAUUUAAGGAGAGUAACAUGGGUUCCCAUGAAUAAGAAAUAAACCAAGUUAAAAUAGGAGAAUCGAAAGUCUAAAGGGAAAUUUUCAAAUCAAGCCAAGAGACAAGGAGCUCAGAGUCAAUCAAAGAGAGAGUCACGAAUCAUGUUUUACCAUAUAAAUAGAGUGAGAUAUGAGUAACCAAACAUAGCAAGCAAAGAGGAAAGUCUUGACCAGUCAAGACGAACACAAGCACAUAGAGCUGAUGUAAGUUAGGCAUAAGACUACUCAGUAGAAACACAUUCGAAGCGAGAUAGUCACAGAAACUCAAACAAGAACAGACCAGUCACAAAAUCAAACGAAGAAACCUAAAAAAAUUAGGGCUUUCAACAUAGGCGAGUUAAAGAGAAGAUAGAAAUUCAGAAUCAAAAGAAUCACACAAAGAGAUUUUGAAAAGGAACUUCUACACUUAAACGAACAGUCUCAGACCCAAAACCAUAAGAUUUUUAACAAUAGAAGGGUUUUUUUUUUAAAAAAAAAAGAUAAAUAGACAGAUCAGACAAAAGCCUAAGCAAACAAAUAUUCAUUUAAUAAAUAGUUAAAAGAAAUUAGGAGUUUUAACAUGCAAACUCAGGCAGAAGGAUAAUACAGCAAAACAUGUCAAAAAUCAAAGACAGGUUUCGAAAUAACUUAAACAGAACCUUAAUCAGAAAGAUAAGGGGUUUUGAUGGUAGAGUUUUAAAAGAAACUUUGAGAAAAAUGUUUAGAAGUUUAGAGCAAACACAGAUCUGAAACAGAUCUAGAACAAAUCGGAAGAACCUUAGAGGCUAGGGCUUCAGAAGAACCCCAAGUGGUGAGAAAGGCUUUGAAAAUCAUCGAUCUUAGCGGAAAGUCAAGAGUCGGACUCGAAUAGCCAUGGCUGGCCAGAGAAAGGUCAAAGACGACCAGAGAAUGUCCAUAAAAUGAAAUCGACCAAGGUCUGGACCAAGAUUUCUCAAUAUCUAGCCUUGAAACCAUAAUAAUCGAGCACGCAGGAGCCAUGUGAGGUGGAUACAGGCCUCCGAUGACCUUGGAAGCCAUGGAUUUGGAAGGUUUUAGGGUUGUAGUUGAUGUCGGCGGCUAGGGUUGGAGAGGGUUUGAGAGAGGAUUGGGAGAUAAGGGGAUUCAGAGGCGGCUAGGUGUGUGAAAUGGUUAGGGUUAGGGGGUAGUUUGAGAUUAAAAAAGGAAAGGAUGGAUGUUGGCCGUUGAUCUGAAUGAUCAACGACCUGGAUUAAAACGGGCGAGUGGGCGGGUUAUGAAGAUGGGUUUGGUUCGGGUUAAAUUAGAAUUGGUUCGGGGGUUCAAAUAGUUUCAAUUGAGUUCAAUUGGGGUGCCAAAUCAGGAUAAAGUUGAAAUAAAAUGGGGCUAACAUUUAAAUAGCCACGUUUCCCUGUUUGAUUUAUAAAAAUAGUAAGAUAAAUUCUGAAAAUAAAUUAAAAGUACUAAAAUUGUUAACAGUACAUAAUUAUCAAAUUAAAAUACUGGACUUAAUUUUUAUAGAUAUAAAUGUAAUUAAUUCUAAAAGAGGCUAAUAUUGCAAUUAUAUGCAAUUUAGCUUUAAAAAUACUAAAUAAUUUUGCAAAAAUAUGAAAAAAUUAUAUUAGCUAUAUUUUAGCAUAAAUAUGAGAAUCCAAUAAAUGGAUCACCCAAAAAUGAUAUUUUGUAAAUAAUUAUUGGUUUUUCUGAAUAAAAUUGGGCAAUAAGUUGAUUUAAAAAAUCUUUAAAAAUUAAAGAAAAAUAAUAAAAUAUCUAGGCACACUUAUAUAUGUUUACAUAUACUAUUUUGAAAGUAUUUUGCAUAUUAAAAAUAUACAGAAAAAAAUCGGGUAUCAAUAGCUGCCCCUCUUUACCCGUGAAGGAUGGAAGAUAUGUCGGGUAAAGAUAUGAUGGCUAAUUUGACUGAACAAAAUAGUUCGAGGAGGCUUAGGUCGUGCCAUGGCUUCUGAACUGCCUACAUAUCCCUGAUUUUAUAGGAAUCAGGCCAUAUGUAGUUCAGGAUCCGUUGGCGGAGUAUACUAAUGGAGAUUUUCAAGAACGGAUGCAAUCUAUAGGGUCGGGUGUGUGGAAUGUUUAGGUUUGAUAUGGCUGCGGGAACUGGAACGGGAUCGCUCCUACCGAGAUGGUCGUUGCUUGCCAGUUUACCUGCAAACAAACAAUACAAACAUAUAUUGUGCAUAAAUUUAAACAUGAUGCAAUUUCCCGUCGGACCAUAAGGAUUGUCUUCGGACGGUUAGAAUGACGUUCUCAGACCAUGAUGUCCUGGGCCAUGAAGCGUAUAGUAAAGGAUUCACAGGCCAUGAAAUGAUGCUCUCGGGCUAUGAGGAUGAUGCCUCCGAACCAUGAUGCCUUUGAAUAAUAAUAUGCAAAAGAUUGAAAGGGGUCCUCAGGCCAUGACAUGGCGUUCUUGGGCUAUGAAAAUGGUGCCUCUGAACAAUGACGCCUUCGGAUGGUUUGGCGAUCUUUCAGCCCAUGCAAUGCAGUAGGUGGCGAUCUUUCAGCCAUGCAAAUGUAGAUAGGGUGGCGAUCUUUCAUCCAUGCAACUGUAGAUAGGGUGGCGAUCUUUCAGCCAUGCAAAUGUAGAGGUGGCGAUCUUUCAGCCAUUCAGAUGUGGAGGUGGCAAUCUUUCAGCCAUGCAAAUGUAGAGGUGGCGAUCUUUCAGCCAUGCAAAUGUAGAGGUGGCGAUCUUUUAGCCAUGCAAAUGUAGAGGUGGCAAUCUUUCNNNNNNNNNNNNNNNNNNNNNNNNNNNNNNNNNNNNNNNNNNNNNNNNNNNNNNNNNNNNNNNNNNNNNNNNNNNNNNNNNNNNNNNNNNNNNNNNNNNNNNNNNNNNNNNNNNNNNNNNNNNNNNNNNNNNNNNNNNNNNNNNNNNNNNNNNNNNNNNNNNNNNNNNNNNNNNNNNNNNNNNNNNNNNNNNNNNNNNNNNNNNNNNNNNNNNNNNNNNNNNNNNNNNNNNNNNNNNNNNNNNNNNNNNNNNNNNNNNNNNNNNNNNNNNNNNNNNNNNNNNNNNNNNNNNNNNNNNNNNNNNNNNNNNNNNNNNNNNNNNNNNNNNNNNNNNNNNNNNNNNNNNNNNNNNNNNNNNNNNNNNNNNNNNNNNNNNNNNNNNNNNNNNNNNNNNNNNNNNNNNNNNNNNNNNNNNNNNNNNNNNNNNNNNNNNNNNNNNNNNNNNNNNNNNNNNNNNNNNNNNNNNNNNNNNNNNNNNNNNNNNNNNNNNNNNNNNNNNNNNNNNNNNNNNNNNNNNNNNNNNNNNNNNNNNNNNNNNNNNNNNNNNNNNNNNNNNNNNNNNNNNNNNNNNNNNNNNNNNNNNNNNNNNNNNNNNNNNNNNNNNNNNNNNNNNNNNNNNNNNNNNNNNNNNNNNNNGAGGUGGUGAUCUUUCAGCCAUGCAAAUGUAGAGGCAGCGAUCUUUCAGCCAUGCAAAUGUAGAUAAGGCGGCGAUCUUUCAGCCAUGCAAAAUGAAGAUAAGGUGGCGAUCUUUCAGUCAUGCAAAUGCAAAGGUGGCGAUCUUUCAGCCAUGCAAAUGCCGAGGUGGCGAUCUUUCAGCCAUGCAAGUGUAGAUGGAGGUAGAGCUUAACCUCGAAAGGUAGAAUGGUAGCCUUAUGCAAUGCAGAAAAUGCAGAUGGUGACAACGUUUAGUCUCAGAAGGCAGAAUGGUAGCCUUAUGCAAAAAAUAAAAGGGCAAAUUGUAAUAGAGUUUUCUUAGCUGAUAGAGGAUUGCGGUAUCGUGACUGUUGGGGACAUCGUGACAUACUGAAUGCCACUGGUGCGUAUGGAUAGCAAAUGUUGGUAAGUGCAACAGUUCUGAGAGUUGUAUUCCUGAACAAUGUUUGUCUCGUGAGUGUAUGGUAUGUCAGAUGCUUUCGCAAUCUGAGUGCCUUCAUCCAAAGAAAAAUCGUGAGUUUUAUAAAGGGGGAAGGUUAGUUUGCAUCCCCGCUGGCUCUGCUGGACCUGUUCGGCUCUAAUCUGGUGAUGUUGUAUAUAUCAUUGGGGUAGCAUUGCUAAACAAGGAAAUUUUAGUAAUAAACAUGCAUGAUUUUCUUAAAAAUAUUAUAUAAGUAUAUAAUUAAGAAACAACUUUUAGAUGAACCGAUAACUGUAACGUGGUUCAGGACGUUUCAACCUCUCUUGCUACGGAAUUUUGAGGGUCCUCCUCAAAAUUCUGCCCCAGUUUCCAAUUGCGGGCGAAAUGAAAAUUUUAUUGAAUUGUGACCGAACCCAUAGGGCUGCCUACGUAUCCCCUCUUAAACGGGAAUCAGGUCAGGCGUAGUUCAAUUUACAUCAUAUAGGAAAGCAUAAAGAUUACACAUAGUAAUGCUUGACUGCAUCUGAAUUGAUCGGCUUUGGCCAGACUUCUCCGUCCAUUUCUGCAAGUAUGAGGGCUCCUCCUGUCAAAACCUGAUGAACCAUGUAUGGACCCUGCCAGUUGGGAGAGAACUUCCCUUUGGCUUCAUCUUGAUGCGGGAAAAUUUUCUUUAACGUAAGCUGCCCUGGUGUGAACUGUCUAGGCUUGACUCUUUUGUUGAAAGCUCUAGACAUUCUGUUCUGAUAGAGUUGACCAUGGCAAACCGCGUUCAUUCUCUUUUCGUCUAUAAGGGCUAAUUGCUCAUAACAACUUUUCACCCACUCUGCGUCGUCAAGCUCAGCUUCGUGUAUGAUCCUUAGGGAAGGAAUUUCUACCUUGGCAGGAAUGACUGCCUCUGUACCAUAAACCAGUAUAUAGGGGUUGCCCCGGAUGAUGUGCAGACUGUGGUGCGAUACCCCAAUAAAGUGAAUGAUAGUUUCUCGUGCCACUGCUUAUGCUUCUCUAUCAUUUUCCUUAGUAUCUUGUUGAUAUUCUUAUUGGUGGCCUCUAUGGCUCCAUUCAUCUAAGGUCUAUAGGCUGUAGAAUUUUUGUGUCGAAUCUUGAAGGUUUCACACAUAGCUUUCAUCAAGUCACUGUUGAGGUUGGAACCAUUAUAAGUAAUGAUUUAUUCUGGAAUACCGAAUCGACAAACAAUGCGGUUGCGGACAAAGUUUGCCACGACUUUCUUAGUCAUUGCUUUGUAAGAUGUCGCUUCGACCCAUUUGGUGAAAUAGUCGAUGGAUACCAAGAUAAAUAUAUGUCCAUUGGAAGCGACAGGCUCGAUUGGUCCAAUAACAUCCAUCCCCCAAGCGGCAAACGACCAUGGUGAGCUUGUUGCAGUAAGCUCAUUUGGAGGUUCCUUUAUCAUGUCUGUAUGUAUCUGGCAGUGAUGGCAUUUCUGGACAUACUGGAUGCAGUCCGUCUCUAUAGUCAUCCAAAAGUAACNNNNNNNNNNNNNUUUCCGUAUGCUUCUUCCUCAACAUGGGCGCAAUAAUCUGGCUGAUCAUGGAUUUUUACCAGAAUGGGAUCAAUGAAGUUUUUGUCUGGAUGUUGUAUCAUGGAUGAUAGGGUAGCCAAUGCAUCGGCGUACUCAUUCUGGACUAUGGGAACAUGUUGGAAUUCCGUCUUUGUGAAUUUCUUUCUCAAUUCUUGUAUAUGAUGUAGAUACGGGAGUAUCUUGGAGUUCUUCGUUGCCCAUUCUUCUCAGACCUGAUGUAUAAGUAGGUUCAAAUCUCCGAUCACUAGCAACUCUUGAAUGUUCAUGUCAAUGGCCAUCUUGAGACCUAAUAUGCAGGCUUCGUACUCGGCCAUGUUGUUGGUGCAUGGGAACCUGAGUUUGGCAUACACCGGAUAAUGCUGACCAGAUUCCGAUACAAGGACUGCUCCUAUGCCAACUCCUUUGAAAUUUACUGCUCCAUCGGAAAACAUUCUCCAACCAUCAUAGAAUUCUGCAAUGUCUUCUCCUAUGAAUGAUACCUCUUCAUCAGGAAAAUACAUUUUCAGGGGUUCGUAUUCUCCGUCCACGGGGUUUUCAACAAGGUGAGCUUCUAGUGCCUGUCCCUUGAUUGCUUUCUGAGUCACGUAGACAAUGUCAAACUCACUCAAUAGGAUUUGCCACUUGGCUAGCUUACCAGUGGGCAUGGGCUUCUGGAAGAUGUACUUCAAAGGAUUCAUCCUUGAUAUGAAAUAUGUAGUAUAGGCACAGAAAUAGUGCCUCAGUUUCUGAGCUACCCAAGUCAAAGCACAACAGGUGCGUUCUAAUAGAGAAUACCGGGCCUCGUACGAGGUGAACUGCAAUGGACAAAAUUAAACAGACUGGUUACAGAUUCUGCAGGUGAUAGCAUCUACUAUUACUGAUUUUGAUCCCUAGGAGCAUGAUAUCUAACAUUGACUGUGAAUGAAGCGAAUCAGAAUUUCACUGAUGAACCCCUAUAGGCAUGAUUUCUAGAUGUUACUGAUUUUAACACAUUACUGGAUUAUAACCACUUGGGCCCUAACACAUGAUAUCUAAAUGGUGAAAAAAACAUGCAGAACUUUAGAAUGAAAUCCUAUAGGCAGGUUAUCUAGAUGUGAAGUUGAACAAGAAGUCCUAUAGACAUGGUUUCUAAAUGCAGCUUACAGAAUUAAAAUACCAUAUAGGCAUGAUUUCUAAAUGCAGUUUGCAGAAUUAAAAUACCCUAUAGGCUUGAUUUCCAAAUGCAGUUUGCAGAAUUAAUAUACCCUCUAGGCAUGAUUUCUAAAUGCAGCUUGCAGAAUUAAAAUACCCUAUAGGCAUGAUUUCUAAAUGUAGUUUGAAUAUGUAGAAUUUAAAGUAGUCUUACAAGCAUAUUUUCUACCCUUGCAUGCAUAGUUACCCAACCUUUUUUAUUACCUACCCCAAAAUGUUUAUUACAACUUAUUACAAACCAAGAAUACUAAAUACAUCAAAAAAUACAAAGAAAAGAAUUACAACCAGAGGAAGCCUGAUUCUUGAUUUCCUCACUGAUUUAUGAGAUGAACCAACUCAAAAUACCAUUAAUCCAAAGCCUUUCUCAACCUUGAGUGUGUCAGAGUUCCCUAAGGGCUUUAAUAGGACCCCCGGCAGUGCUCACACCCAAGUUUUAUAACCAGAAUCGGGACAAGUGCAGUGUGGAAAUACCAGCCCUCAUGUGUCCAAGUUCAGAGGGAGCUCAUGGGUCCGAAGGCAAGGCUCACAUGAGGGGGGAAGAACUUAAGUCUAAGAGGAGAGUGCAAGUGCAGAAACAGAGCUUUAAGAACUAAGGAAGUAAAGAAGGGGGAAAGAGGUGUUGGGAAACAACCAUUAACACUUCAAACAAGUUGAUAAUUUCACACCAAGGGGUUUGGGAAUCCAUUGCAAGGAGCCUAUAUACUUAGGCAUGAGUCGAUUCUAGGCAUGCACAACAAUAGAGAGUGAUGUCAUGCUUGCAAAAUCAGCCAGAACAUACAACAUAUAAGGGAAACAUAGAGGUUAUGAUCCUAGGAGGAUCAAGUUUGGGUCAUGCUCAGCAAUGUUCAAUGUUGUCAUGCCCCAAACAAAUCAUAAGUAUUAAACAUACUGGGGUAGGGAUUUAGGAUUCAUAAUACAUUAAUUUAGAAUAGGAGAAUAAAUAUGGGUACUAAAUUAAAUAUAAGCAGUAGGCAGACAAGAAUGAAAGAAUCAUUGAGUAACCAUGUUGUGGUUGAUGCUGAAAACUUAAUUAGAACAUACUAGUCAAAGAAGAAAAGUGCAAUAAAGAAAAGUAGCACGACUUCAAUAUAUAGCUUUGGCAUUCAGCCAGCUAAACAGGCCACAGUACCAGUAACAAAGCAAGAGAGAGUGUUUUGAGUGUAAGUGUGAGUUCAGAACUAAAAGUGUUCGUAUGUUUGUGCUAAUGAGGGAGUAUGUAUAUAUAGUAGUUCGAAACCAUGUAAAAUAAGGCAAGAAUUAUAAUUGUAUAGUAAUUAUGGAACCAAGUAAUAAUCAGAAACAAAUCAAUGCAAGUACUCUUUUAAUUAAAGGGCAAUCAACCAACGGUAAUAGGCAAUAAAUGUUUAAGGAAAGAAAUCAAGUAGAGCAUCAUGUACAGAGUAGACAAUGAGGGGUAAGUACAUAGGGGUUCAAUUAAGGAAACAACCAAUGAAGAAUCAGUAAAAUACUCGGUUAACCAAAUAACUUAAGAAAACAAAAUAAAGUUGUAGAAUAUGGAGAUAAUCGAAAAUCAGCACAUAGUAAAUCAGGGAAUCAAGGAUUCGAAAUUACUAAUUUAAGGAGAGUAACAUGGGUUCCCAUGAAUAAGCAAUAAACCAAGUUAAAAUAGGAGAAUCGAAAGUCUAAAGGGAAAUUUUCAAAUCAAGCCAAGAGACAGGGAGCUCAGAGUCAAUCAACGAGAGAGUCACGAAUCAUGUUUUACCAUAUAAAUAGAGUGAGAUAUGAGUAACCAAACAUAGCAAGCAAAGAGGCAAGUCUUGACCAGUCAAGACGAACACAAGCACAUAGAGCUGAUGUAAGUUAGGCAUAAGACCACUCAGUAGAAACACAUUCGAAGCGAGAUAGUCACAGAAACUCAAACAAGAACAUGCCAGUCACAAAAUCAAACGAAGAAACCUAGAAAAAUUAGGGCUUUCAACAUAGGCAAGUUAAAGAGAAUAUAGAAAUCUAGAAUCAGAAGAAUCACACAAAGAGAUUUCGAAAAGGAACUUCUGCACUUAAACGAACAGUCUCAGACCCAAAACCGUAAGAUUUUUAACAAUAGAAGGGUUUCUUUAAAAAAAACAAGAUAAAUUGACAAAUCGGACAAAAACUCAAGCAAACAAAUAUUCAUUUAAUAAAUAGUUAAAAUAAAUUAGGGUUUUUAACAUGCAAACUUAGGCAGAAGGAUAAUACAGCAAAAUAUAUCAAAAAUCAGAGACAGGUUUCGAAAUAACUUAAACAAAACUUUAAUCAGAAAGAUAAGGGGUUUUGAUGGUAGAGUUUUAAAAGAAACAUUGAGAAAAAUGUUUAGAAGUUUAGAGAAAACACAGAUCUGAAUAGAUCUAGAAGAAAUCGGAAGAACCUUAGAGGCUAGGGUUUCAGAAGAACCCCAAGUGGUAAGAAAGGCUUUGAAAAUCAUCGAUCUUAGCGGAAAGUCAAGAGUCGGACUCGAAUAGCCAUGGCUGGCCAGAGAAAGGUCAAAGACGACCGGAGAAUGUCCAUAAAAUGAAAUCGACCAAGGUCUGGACCAAGAUUUCUCAAUAUCUAGCCUUGAAACCAUAAUAAUCGAGCACGCAGGAGCCAUGUGAGGUGGAUACAGGCCUCCGAUGACCUUGGAAGCCAUGGAUUUGGAAGGUUUUAGGGUUGUAGUUGAUGUCGGCGGCUAGGGUUGGAGAGGGUUUGAGAGAGGAUUGGGAGAUAAGGGGAUUCAGAGGCGGCUAGGUGUGUGAAAUGGUUAGGGUUAGGGGGUAGUUUGAGAUUAAAAAAGGAAAGGAUGGAUUAAAACGGGCGAGUGGGCGGGUUAUAAAGAUGGGUUUGGGUCGGAUUAAAUUGGAAUUGGGUUGGGGGUUCAAAUAGUUUCAAUUGAGUUUAAUUGGGGUGCCAAAUCAGGCUAAAGUUGAAAUAAAAUGGGGCUAACAUUUAAAUAGCAACUUUUCCCUGUUUGAUUUAUAAAAAUAGUAAAAUAUUCUCUGAAAAUAAAUUAAAAGUACUAAAAUGAUUAACAGUACAUAAUUAUCAAAUUAAAAUACUGGACUUAAUUUUUAUAGAUAUAAACGUAAUUAAUUCUAAAAGAGGCUAAUAUUGCAAUUAUAUGCAAUUUUGCUUUAAAAAUACUAAAUAGAUUUGCAAAAUAUGCAAAAGUUAUAUUAGCUAUAUUUUAGCAUAAAUAUGAGAAUCCAAUAAAUGGAUCACCCAAAAAUGAUAUUUUGGAAAUAAUUAUUGGUUUUUCUGGAUAAAAUAGGACAAUAAGUUGAUAUAAAAAAACCUUUAAAAAUUAAGGAAAAAUAAUAAAACAUCUGGCCAUACUUAUAUAUGUUUACAUAUGCUAUUUUGAAAAUAUUUUGCAUAUUAAAAAAAUACAGGGAAAAAUUGGGUAUCAACAAUAAUCCUGUUUCGUUUGUCACUUAAAUUGGAAAAAACUCCCUUAUACCCUUCCCGAGGGUGGUAAAAGGAGAUGUGACAAGUAGAUAUGUUAAUUAAAUGUUCCCUUUCUUCUUUUUGGAUACAUCUCCCUAUACACUGACUUUCUUCGCUGAUACAACUGUCACAGUUUACCCCAAUGCGGUUAAGAGCCUCUCGGGCUGGGUCAACUAGCUGGAUUCGAUUUGCCCAUACGCCAAGCGUGCGUGGCGUGAUCUGUCCCAGGCUCGAUGGGAAGCCAAGGACCACAGUGAGCCUUCACUCCUGUUGUAGUUGUAUUUCAUAAAAGAACUAUUAACGAUAGUGCCCUUAUUCCCAGCGCGUAUAUUUUGCAUCUGUGUAGGUCUGGGGGAGGUCCCCUUGAUAAGAGAAGCACUACUUGGUGAAGCAGGUACCCCGAAACCCGAAAAAGAGAGGAAAAGGUGAAGGGGGUCACCGACUCCUUCUCCGAAACCCAAGAAAGCCAAAGUGGGAGAACCCAUACCAUAGAGUCGAUGGCUCCUACAUUAGGACUUGAUUCCGUUGUUGUCCUACCUCGGAUUGAAGAGUCCUUUGAGGGUGCGUCGGGUGACAUCCCCGAUUUACUUGUUGGAAAAAGCUCUCCUCGAGUUGAGGUGCAAUCAUUAGGUGGUCCGAGGGAGCUUGGUUCCGAAGCUCUCCUGAAAUAAGAGACGGCCCUGGUAGAUUCGGUCGAGAUCAUUGAAGUCAGCGAUUCCCCUUCGGGAUCGGCUUUUCCCCCUAGGGAGAUGCAGGAUACCCAAAAUAAAGAAUCUUCUGAUACGAGGGUGCCUGUUAGAGAAAAGAAUGUGCUUGAAGGGCUUUCUAUUGCGCCCGAGGAAAAGCCUGAUCUUGACGUCUCGCUUAUUUUCAAUGAGAUCAACAGGCUCUAUGAGCAGGUUAUCUUUUUGUAAAAGUCUGCUUGGUGCCCUGAUUUUUGUCUUGCUAACUUCGUUUCCUUCAUGGUUUCAGGCCAAGGUGCUUUACAAUCAGACCUUCUCCAAGUUUCAAACCGAGCUGACUCGUUACGAGGGUGAACAUAAAGGACUCACCUUGGAAGCUGGUGAGCUCAGAGCUCUUUCUACUAAGAGGGAGGAGGAACUCCGUGACCUUCGGGAUUGUUUGGAGGCGGCGUCCCGAGACAUGACUCAUCUCACUAAGCAUGUCAUAUAGUUCUUGCUUGUUUUUUGUAUACAUGCUUACCCGACUUUAGUGCUUUAACAACUUCAUGUCGAUCUUUUGUAGCUUAAGAAGAAAAAUGUCCUAAAGAAGGAGGAGCUCCGAACCAGGGACUCUGGAAUUCUUGAACUCAGACAUCACGUGAGUAAGAUAGUCUUUGAGAGAGAUACCCUCCAGGGGGAGGUGGCCUCAGUUGGGCAUCAACUUGAUGAUGCAAGGACGAAGAGUAACAAGUACAAGGAUUUUCAUACUGAAUUGGCUGCUACGUUAUCCAAGGUCAGAGCUGAAAGCUGAGGAGCUCGUAUCCUCGUACAAAGAUGAUGCUGCUACUGCAAAUGCUCAGGACAGGAAAUUUUCCGAGGGGGCCGAGAUGCUAUUAACUCGGGCUGUGGGGCAUGGUUGUUUAGAAUCUCGGAGACGGACUCUCGAGGAUAUAUAUGAUGGGGGCAUUGAUUUGUCCACCGAGAUCGAGAGGGUGAAGAUCCUAGAAGAGGAGGACGCAACCCUACUUUCCUCUGAAAACGAGUCGAGCAGUGACUCAGGAGAUUGUAAAGAUGGAGGUAAGGUUCCCGAAGGGGGAGAGGCCAUGGGAAACUGGGGGUUAUGGCCGAUGCUAUGGAAAGCACAAUUUCCGAGGGAGCCGUCAAAGGCAUAGCCCCUGUGGUAGAUUAGGGUUCUAGCUUUUUUUUUUGCCGUUGUAAAGGCUUCAGACAUAGGUCUUGUAAAUGCACUUUUUUGAACCUUCCAAUAUGUAUGUAAAGGCUUUUUCAUCCUUUCUCGCUUUUCCGUUGCUUUAAAUUUUGACGUUCGUCAAUGAUUAGCUAGAUGGAUUGGGCUUCAGGGUAGGAACCCUUAGGUUUGCAAAUUAGCCCUGAGGCUUGUUGGUUAACUGUUUCGGGCUCAGUCUUCGAGUCGGAUUUCGACUCGAGCUCAUUGACCCUUAAGUUGUUAAGCUGACCCUUAAUAUAGGCUGGCGAUAGUUAACUAUUUCGGGCGUUUUUUAGUUAACUAUUUCGGGCUCAGUCUCCGAAUUGUAUUUUGACUCGAGGUCAUUGACCCUUAAGUUUUUAAGCUGGCCCUUAGAGCAUGUGUAGGGUCAGUGCGACCUCUUAAUAUAGGCUGGCGAUAGUGGAUCUUACGUGUUGGGUCGGUACGACCUCUUAAUAUAGACUUUAUUUUUCCCUCGCUAAAGACUUUUUGAAGUUUUGUGUUCACCCGACUCUUCGACAGCUUGAUUAAAGCCUCGAUUACGAGCCGUUAUGUAGCGAUAAAUGAGCACCUCGAGAGGUUUCGCUCGAUGGCUGAAUUAUUUUUAAGCCAAUUAUUUGGAGCUAAUAUGAUCGAAGCUCUUUUGCUUAUGCCAAGGGUAGCCUGAUUUGCCGAUUCUUUUCGAAGUUUUUUCAAAGUAAUUGAAGGCCUAUGAUUUUAUAGCGAUGGUUGGGCAUCCCUGAGUGAGUUUGGCCGAAGCCAUAUGACCGGAGUCAUCGAGUUUGGCCGAAGCCUUUUAGUCCCCGAGUGAAGUAGUUUCGGCGUCUAUAUCGAGGGUAUGCCUUUUUAGGUAUCUUACAAGUUCGGAUAUAUAGUUUUAACUUUAAGAUCGGGAUUAUGCCUUUUGUAAGGUUUUACAAAUUUAACAUGCCUUACUUGAGGUCUUACAGGAAAGUUACUUGGUACAAGUAUGGUUCAUGCCUUGCUCGAGAUCUUAUAGUUUUGGUGUUGCCUUAUGGAGGUCUUAUAUUGUUGACAAUGCCUUGUGGAGGUCAUAUAUUUUCUAAUAUUGCAGCAUGGAAGGCUUUCGGGCUCGAGGUUGCCCGCUUGGGGUUUUACGGCCUUGAGUUUCUGAUUGAUCGAUAGGAUGACAAUUAACGACAGUCCCCAAGACGUCGAAAGUUUUUCGGCUCUGGAGCCAUUCUUUGUAAAAUUGGUGUUGCCUCAUUGAGGGCUUACAAGUUUGAAGUUUCCAACCCGGAGGUCGUAUGGGUUCAAGUGUUUGACUUUAGUCCCCGAGUGUUUGGGAAAUUUCUGGCUUUGGAGCCAUUUCUUGUGAAAAAUAGCAGACUUCUUUGAAGCGUAAAGCGUUUUGAUGGAGAAAAAAUAUUCUUUGAUUACUUGGCACAAGAACACAUGUUUUUGUCAAGGGUUCGGUUAUUCUAUGUGGACACGAUUCGUUCGACCGUUUGGCCUGAUACAUCGUUUCCCUACUGAGACCCUCUUUGGCAUAUUCUUGACUUCUUCGAGGAGGUGAUCUACCGGGGGGAUCCCCCCAGUAUUUGAGGUUGAUUGAAGGGAAGCCUUGUAUUCUUGAGUUCUCCUUAGGUAGCAUACAUGUGUAGUCUUGUUAAAAACCUUGUCGGUAAAAUCCUUCUUGGGAUAAAAAUCAGAUCGAAGGAAAAGAGUGCAAUGUUUGCGUUAAAACCCAAGGUCUUCGAGCCGGGGGAUGUUUCGGUGCCUUUCAUCAGACACAUUAGCAGUAGUAGCGUUUGAGCAAUGAUAUGUUCCAAUUGCUCGGAAGCUAUUCGCCUUCCAUGGUACCGAGCUUGUAGGACCAUUUUCCGAUUACUUCGAGGACACAGUACGGUCCCUUCUAGUUUUGGCCUAGUUUUCCUUCAUUCGGAUUUCGAGUAUUUAGGGUGACUUUCCUCAAGACUAAGUCCCCGACACUGAAAUGUUGAAGAUUUGUUCUCCUGUUAUAGUACCUUUCGAUUCUUUGUUUUUGGGCAGCCAUUCGGACCAGCGAAGCUUCUCGCUUUUCAUCCAAUAGUUCAAGGGUCGUAGUCAUGGCCUCGUUGUUUGAGUUGUCGGUGGUGUCGGAAUCUUGCGCUUGGUUCUCCAACCUCCACCGGUAUCAAAGCCUCGACACCAUACACUAGAGAAAGAGGUGUUUCUCCUGUGCUUGCUUUUGGAGUUGUUCGAUAUGCCCAUAGCACUUCGAGUAAUAUUUCUCUCCACUUUCCCUUAGCGCUUUCCAAUUUCUUUUUUAAGUUUUGAAUGAUGGUCUUGUUUGUAGAUUUGACCUGACCAUUUGCACAUGGGUGGUAGGGUGUCGACAGGAUUCUCUUGAUUUUGUUAUCCUCGAGAAACUGUGUUACUUUGCUUUCAAUGAACUACUUCCCAUUAUCACAUGUUAUCUCAGAAGGAAUCCUGAAUCGGCACAUGAUGUGGUCCUGGAUGAAGUUAAUGACUUCUUUUUCUCUUAUCUUUUCAAAGGCCUGCGCUUCCACCUAUUUUGAGAAGUAGUCAGUCAUAAAUAAAAUAAGUCUAGCUUUACCAGGUGCCGUUGGUAGAGGUCCGACGAUAUCCAUCCCUUAUUUCAUGAACGGCCACGACAAUAAGACCGAAUGUAGCUAUUCAACGGGUUGGUGAAUCAUUGGAGCAAAUCUCUGGCAUUUGUCGCUUUUUCGGACGAAUUCUUUGGUGUCUUUUUCCAUGCUAUCCCAAUAAUAGCAUGCUAUGAUCACCUUUCGAACUAAGGAAUCAAUGCCAGAAUGAUUUUCACAGGUGCCCUCAUGGAUUUCUCGGAGCACAUAAUUUGUGUCUCCCGGCCCCAGACAUACUGCUAGAGGCCAUUGGAGGUUCUUUUUGUACAGAGUUCUGUUUUCGUCGAGCAAGAAUCGGGCUGCUUUGGUUCGUAGGACGUUCGAUUCUUUUGGAUACGUGAAUAGUUUCCCGCUUUCCAAAUAGUCAAUAUAUUUAUUUCUCCAAUCCCAUAUUAGGCUAGUGGAGUUGAUCUCGGCAUGACCUUCCUCGAUCAUGGAUUUGGAUAGCUGAACAGCAGCCCCAGGGAGUUGGUCAUCUUCUUCAAUAGACGAUCCCAGGUUUGCGAGGGCAUCGGCCUCCCUAUUCUUCUCUCGAGGUAUGUGGACCAGAGUCCAUUCUUUGAAACAGUGCAAUGUGACUUGAAUUUUUUUCAAGUAUCUUUGCAUCCUGUCUUCUCGGACCUCGAAGCUCCCAUUUACCUGAUUUACUACUAGGAGGGAAUCACAUCUUGCUUCGACGACUUCAACUCCUAGGCUUUUUUCCAAUUCCAUACCUGCAAUCAUAGCCUCAUAUUCGUCUUCAUUAUUAGUCAAUCUUGCAGUUUUUAAAGAUUGCCUGAUUAUACCGCCCGUAGGCGGCUUCAGAACUAUAUCGAGCCCAGAUCCUCUUACGUUCGAGGUGCCAUCAGUGAAUAGGGUCCACAACCUAGAAGAUGUGCCUGUUUUUAGUAAAAGUUCUUUUUGUACCUCGGGCACGAGGGAGGGCGAGAAAUCGGCCACGAAGUCUACCAGAAUUUGGGACUUGAUAGCCGUUCGAGGUUGAUAUUCGAUAUCAUAUCCCCCGAGUUUGAUGGCCCAUUUGGCCAGUUGGCCCAAUAAUUCGGGCUUAUGCAAUAUGCUUCGAAGAGGGUAUGUUAUUAAAAUGCAAAUACAAUGGCAUUGAAAGUAAGGUUUCAAUUUUCGUGAUGCGCUUAUUAACGCAAGAGCUAAUUUUUCUGGUGCGGAUACCUGGUUUCGGCAUCUCCCAGGGUUUGACUUACAUAAUAAAUAGGGAACUGCGUACCUUGUUCUUCUCGAACUAGCACCCCACUUACCGAUAUCUCGGAUACAGCCAAGUACAAAUACAGUGUCUCAUCCUCCUUUGGAGUAUGGAGCAAAGGCGGGCUAGUCAGAUAUCGCUUUAACUCCUCUAGGGCACGUUGGCAUUCCGGAGUCCAUUCAAAGUUGUUUUUCUUUUUGAGUAAGGAGAAGAAAUGAUGACUCCUGUCUGAUGAUCUCGAUAUGAAUCGGCCCAAGGCUGCUAUCCGUCCGGUCAGCCGUUGCAUGACCUUUACAUUGUUUACCUUUGUGAUUUCUUCGAUGGCCUUGAUUUUGUUGGGGUUGAUCUUGAUUCCCCUGUUUGACACCAUGAAGCCUAAGAAUUUUCCCGAACCUACUCCGAAGGCACAUUUCUCGGGAUUGAGUUUCAUGUUAUAGCUUCUGAGGAUAUCAAACGUUUCCUGCAAAUAAGUCAAAUGGUCCUCUGCAUGCAGGGACUUAACUAGCAUGUCAUCAAUAUAAACUUCCAUGGAUUUGCCUAUUUGAUGUUUGAACAUUUUAUUAACUAAGUGCUGGUACGUGGCUCCCGUGUUUUUCAGCCCGAAGGGCAUUAUAUUAUAACAAUAUGUAUUGUACUUCGUGAUGAACGAAGUCUUUUCCCUAUCCCUGGGCUUCAUCUGAAUUUGAUUAUAACCCGAGUAUGCAUCGAGAAAGGUGAGGGUCUCGUGAUCGGCCGUGGCAUCGAUCAAGCGGUCGAUGUUGGGAAAUGGGAAUGAAUCCUUGGGGCAUGCUUUAUUUAAGUCGUUAUAAUCUACGCGCAUUCUUAACUUAUUUCCCUUUUUGGGAACUACCACCACAUUGGCUAGCCAUUCGGGAUAUUUUACCUCCCUAAUAGACCCUUUCUUGAGGAGUUUUGUUACCUCUUUUGCUUUAUCGGUUUGAAUCUAGGAUCUUCGCUUAGUCGGUAGGUGGUUAUUUUCGGUGGGAUCCCUGUCAUAUCUAAAUGGGACCAAGCAAAGCAAUCGAUGUUAUUAAUAAGAAAUUGAUUGAGUUUUUUCUUGAGUUUGGGUUUUAGUCCCAUUUCCAGGUAUACCUUCCCAUCUGGGAGAUGUUCGAUCAGAACAACUUUCUCUAGUUCUUCAAUAGUCAACUUCGUCGCAACCGACUCUUCGGGGGCAACAAAGGUUCGAGGAGCGAGAAAAUCUUCUUCAUCGUCCUCUGGGGUCUGUUUGCCUCCCAGCUCUUCCGAGGUAGAGUGUGUAGAAUUCGAUGCCUCCCAGUGGACUGCGAACAUUUCAUUUGCUGCAUGUUGUUCUCCAUAUACUGUCUUUAUGCCAUCCUCUGUUGGAAACUUCAUCAUCUGAUACAGAGUUGACAGUACUUCCCUCAUGUUGUCUAUCUAUGGCCUACCAAGCAAGGUGUUGUACCUCAUGUCACCUCUGAUGAUGUGGAACUUGGCGUCCUGAACUGCACCAAACAAGUUGACCAGGAGGGUGAUCUCCCCCUUCGUUGCUUCACCGGCCAUGUUGAAGCCGUUGAGGACUCGGGAGGUAGGUACGAUCUGAUCGAGCAGGCCGAGUUGUUCUACCACCUUUGACCUGAUCACGUUGGCCGAGCUACCUGGAUCCAUGAGUACACGUUUAAUUCGAACGUUAUUCAAGAUAAACAAAAUUACCAAAGCAUCGUUAUGUGGUUGAGUCAAGGUCUCAAAAUCUAUCUCACUGAAUGCAAGGAUGUCCUCGGGUAUGCUAUCCCGAAUUAACCCUUCUGUUAUAGGGGACACUUUUACCCAUUUGAUCACGAGUCCUCGGGGAAUGACGGUCCCCCUGAUGAUCAUAUGAAUGAUGUGCUAAGGUUUUCCCGCUAUGCUUCCCCUAUCUGCUUUUUUUUCUUCCCGAGUGGGAUUUUUCUGGGUUUUCGUUGAUUUCUUUGGUGCGUACUCCCACUAAUGUGGAAACUAUCAUUAACAUGUUGGGCGAUGUGUGAGGUCGUACCCACGGGGGUCGGUUUUGGUGCGCUCUCGGGGUUUUGUGGUGGUACACCAAUACCUGGAAUAGCUACACCAUUCUCUGCAUGGUCUUCAAGACCGUUGUUUUUAUAUGCAUUCACUAAGUCAGACAUUUUGGCCUAAAAUCAAAGAUUCUGGGACAAGAAAAGUGUGAAGGAUAACUUGCAUUACGUAGUAAACUAGCAAGAAAACAACCACUAUUAUUUUUAGCCCCACGGUGGGCGCCAAACUAUUUACCCUGAAAAUGGUAAUUACAAUUAGAUUUGAUUUUGUGGUUCUAAACAUACAUGAUUCAUUUUUAUGCUAGUUGUUAAACAAUAGAUACUGAGUGUGACACUAGAAAGUAAGCUAAGAGCUUAAAGGCAGUAUGUUAGGCAAACCGAAAGGCUGAGGAUCGGGGCCUCGAGCCCGGUUAUACGGGCCUUAGGGUCGAGCUAAAUGUUAGGCUGUGACCGGCUGAUGAAGGACUAACAGCAUUAAGAGCUUUGAUGAGGGCUCUUUAUGAUCAAUAAUAAGUAAUAAAUGAAGAACAAACAAUAGAACACAACAGAUGUAAGCAAUAAACAUAAAUAAUAGAAUUAAGAGAGAAUAUGUUAGAGAGCAGAGAAAAUGUUCUUGUAUUGAAUGUUGUAAGUGAUGAUGAAUGUCAUCCGCCCAAAAAAAGAGCAAAGAGUCCCCUUUAUAUAGGAGGGGAAACCCCAACAUAGUACAUGUGCGUUUAUUACAAAGAAAUGUAGCUAGUUCAGCUACUUAGGAGCCUAGUACAGACUGGUACUAUUCUUGUAGGUGUUGUCAACUUUGCCCACGAGCCUAGAAAACUACCCGUGUACCCACGAUAACCAUCGAUUUAGGCUGCCCCGCGGUCGGGCAUAAAGAAUCCAUGAGGUCAGAAUCGGGCCUUUGAGGUGAAGCUAUGGAAAGACAUAAUGGUUGUAAAAUCGGGCUCUCCGAUUUUAUCUGCAUACAUACUCACAAAAAUUAAAUCUGAAUUUAAAUCGACUUCUUCAAGCUUAUGGAUUAAUGAUGAACUAUUAUAACUGUUACAACCCAUUUCCACAUGUGUUAGUUCAUGCCAUAUAUUAGUUAACAUAAAUCCAAGAAGGAAUUAUCUUUGAGAUGAUAAGAAGUCAAUCCUAUUGGUCUUAAGUGAUACAAGAGUGUAUAAGGGUGAUUAACCAGUAUUAGAAGUUAAACGAAUCAAGGAUGUUGUAACUCGAAUUUUCAGGUAAUCUAGCGGUGCUUAAUACACUCAAGAGGUCAUUUAUGAAGGUAUUUUAAUCAUAUAAUAUCCGUAUCAUAAGUCUUGAAGUCAAACGAGUUAUGAAACAAAAGUCGACAAAAGUUGUCGCAACUUAGGUUCAUAAUUUUACUUAAACAUUAGGUCAAAUGUUUCUAAUCUUUUCUCAUAAUUUACAAGGAAUUACGGAGUGAUAUACCAACAAAAUUAAAGAUCUAUGAGUCUAGUUUCCAACUCAUUAAACCGUUCAUCGAUACGAUCUCGGAGUAGAGAGAUAUUCGCGUUUUCGCGAGACUGCGCCAAGCACCUCUCUAUGGGGCCCACUAAGUCGGUUUAAGAUAUUUGGACCUAUAUAGGAUGACUACAAACCGUUUUAAGUCAUUUCUUUUCACUAUUUUCAGACCUUAGAACCCUAAGAACAUCCUCUCAAGGUUCUCUCAAGAUUCAAGACCCNNNNNNNNNNNNNNNNNNNNNNNNNAAUACAUUGGAAGGUGAAACGGCUCUAUGAGGUAAGCAAUAAUUUGAGAAUACUCCUCCUUAAUACAAAAUGGUGAUAUGUAGAUAAUGUAAAUACGCAUAAUGCUUUGUGUAGCCUUGUGAAGCCAUAUGUUGGGAUUAAUUACUUGCAAGUUUUGCUAGUGACCAUUUUAUAGGGGAAAAUUGAUUGGAAAUUUCCAUUGGAAUCCACGAUGAUUUAAACUCCCCAUAAACCCUUACACUCGAGGACGAAUGUUCCUAAGGGGGGAGGGUGUUACAACCCAUAUCCACAUGUGUUAGUUCAUGCCAUAUAUUAGUUAACAUAAAUCCAAGAAGGAAUUAUCUUUGAGAUGAUAAGAAGUCAAUCCUAUUGGUCUUAAGUGAUACAAGAGUGUAUAAGGGUGAUUAACCAGUAUUAGAAGUUAAACGAAUCAAGGAUGUUGUAACUCGAAUUUUCAGGUAAUCUAGCGGUGCUUAAUACACUCAAGAGGUCAUUUAUGAAGGUAUUUUAAUCAUAUAAUAUCCGUAUCAUAAGUCUUGAAGUCAAACGAGUUAUGAAACAAAAGUCGACAAAAGUUGUCGCAACUUAGGUUCAUAAUUUUACUUAAACAUUAGGUCAAAUGUUUCUAAUCUUUUCUCAUAAUUUACAAGGAAUUACGGAGUGAUAUACCAACAAAAUUAAAUAUCUAUGAGUCUAGUUUCCAAAUCAUUAAACCGUUCAUCGAUACGAUCUCGGAGUAGAGAGAUAUUCGCGUUUUCGCGAGACUGCGCCAAGCACCUCUCUAUGGGGCCCACUAAGUCGGUUUAAGAUAUUUGGACCUAUAUAGGAUGACUACAACCCGUUUUAAGUCAUUUCUUUUCACUAUUUUCAGACCUUAGAACCCUAGGAACAUCCUCUCAAGGUUCUCUCAAGAUUCAAGACCCAAAAAAAGGGCAAACCACACAAAUCAAGUGUCGGGAAUUCCGUGGCGCUAGUAAGUCUCUUGUUCUUCUUGUUGUUGCUCAUUUUUGUGUCGUUCCAGCCCGUGUGGGAGGUUGUUUUAAAGGGUUUAUGUUCUGUAAAUACUCCCUCAUGUUCUUAAUAUCAAUCCUAGGUAAUUUCAAGCCUUCUAAAGUGAUUCUAGUGCCGAAAAACACUAAUUGAUCGCUAGUUUCGUUUUUUUUGUUGUGUGGCAGCAUUGGAGGGAUAUUUCAUGGAAAUUUAAGGUCAAAUUGGACUUGUUCUUUCUGUAUAAAGGUAAGGAACCUCUUACUCUAUAUGUAUUUAAGAUUAUCCAAGUUGCGGCUAAGCCAUUGAAGCUAGAACUUGUGAGAUAUAUAUCGAAAGGCUUGGUAGUAAUGUUAUUGUUUUGUGGACUGUUUUGUGUUAUUGUUGGGCUGCGUAUUUUACUACUAUCUUGUGGAGUUUUGGAGGAGGAAGGGUGUGGAGAAACACCAUAUAUAUGUAGGUUUAUGGGCUGAUAGUUAUUCGUAUCAUUUCCAGGUUGUUUGAUACGACUAUGGUGGUCGUCGUAUGUAUGGAGUGAUUAGGCUGUGUGUGGACUAUAUUGGGAGACUCAAUAUGUUUAUUAUUGAUGUUGUUUGGGCUGUUUGGUGACUAUUUUGAAUGGUGUGAGGUCAUAUAUAUAGGGUAGGUGCUGUCCGUUUCAUCGUAAAAUAGGUUGUGGUCGAUACAUAAUAGUUAUGACGCUUAAAUGAUAACGAUAGUAUCGUUUCUCUUAUUGUAGACUAAGGAGUUUUGACAAUUGCAUAGCUUGAGAUUGGGGAAGUAUAUACAAGGU
This 25908-nucleotide long non-coding RNA is filed under the name Nicotiana tabacum (common tobacco). Its description in RNAcentral is "long non-coding RNA (NTAB_LNC009491)". Lineage: Eukaryota; Viridiplantae; Streptophyta; Magnoliopsida; Solanales; Solanaceae. The record is from RNAcentral.